GGCUUAGCUGUCUCCUUUUUCUAGCCAAUGAAAUUGAUCUUUCCGUGCAGAAGCGGGAAUAACAACAUAAGACGAGAAGACCCUAUGGAGCUUUAGACACUAAGACAGAUCACGUCAAACACCCCACGCUAAUGGGCCGAACUAAGUGAGCCCUGUCCUAAUGUCUUUGGUUGGGGCGACCCUGGGGAGACAAAUAACCCCCAUGUGGAGUGGAAACACCAUAUUUCCAGAACUAAGAGCUAACCGCUCUAAGGAACAGAAUUUCUGACCAUUUUAGAUCCGGCUACUGCCGAUCAGCGGACCGAGUUA
This 309-nucleotide ribosomal RNA is filed under the name Pseudolabrus sieboldi. RNAcentral's name for it is "partial 16S rRNA". The record is from RNAcentral. Lineage: Eukaryota; Metazoa; Chordata; Actinopteri; Labriformes; Labridae.